RNAcentral lists this long non-coding RNA (4642 nucleotides) under Brassica napus (rape). RNAcentral describes it as "long non-coding RNA (BNAP_LNC025984)". The record is from RNAcentral. Lineage: Eukaryota; Viridiplantae; Streptophyta; Magnoliopsida; Brassicales; Brassicaceae.
UGCCAUUGUGUUGUCCACCUCUGAUCAUCACUCUCGUCUCCAUCUCUUUCCUCCUUUAUUCACGUGUUCUUCUUCUCCCUCUUUAUGAAGCUGUGCGUUGUUGAGAUGCGAGACGCAAGCACCACCACCACGGUGAACCAUCUCACCUUAUCCCACCGGGGCCAUGCUUCAUCACCGGAGGAGCAGCCCAUGUCAUCACAGACCCGUUACCUGCCGUCACAUCCGUUGCGUUGUGGUUACGUACCGGAUCUGCGAGAUGGAGAGCAUGAGCCGAGAGGGAGAGAAAGGCGUUCGAGGCGGAGCCGCACGUUCCCCACCACCACCGGUCUUAGAUCUGUACCGCCGUGAUCCCUUGGUCACCGUAGUUGAUCCAUAUUGUCGGAGAGCCAGCAAUGCUACGUCGUUGACGUCUCGUAUCGGUUGGUGAUGUGGAGCACGUGAUCAAUUAUGAUAAGUUUCCUUAUUCCUAUUUUUCUUGUAUUACAAGUAACCGUUCUCAUCAUAAACCCUACAAUCAUAUAUAUUAAUUAUGCCUUUGUCUUGUAUUAUUUAUAUUCGAUUUGAUGUGUCUCGGUGAGGAGUGGAGAUCCAUGGCAAAACCGUAACUUUCUUGCUGAUAAAGUCAUUUCGUUUAUAGUCUCGCUUCUGGUUCUUAGUCAUUUGCUAAGGUGAGGGUCUAUUCCGUAAAUCCCAUACCAAUAUAGAAUUCUCUCUAUCGUAGUUUAGAUUUCGAAUCAUGAUCCGUCUGUUUGAACUGAGUCUUGAUUGUUAGUUAGUUCAUUCAUUGUAAACUAGAACUAGGGGUGUACAGGAUUCAACCUUUGAUUGGAUUGUGGGAUGUUAAGAGAUGCGAUAUAUAUAUGUAUGUAUACAUAGUUAUUAGUAGGGACUAUAUGCGCGGACGGGGGCUCAGAGAUGUCUGGGCUAGCGACGCUACUUUGAUUGUGCGGGCAGGGGUUCAGAGACGUUUGGACUUGCGAUGCUACUGGUGCAGGCGUGUGGUGCAGAGAUGUUUGUACCAUAGACGGUACUUGAGAGGGCGGGGGUACAGAGACAGACUGUACUAGCGAUAUAUAUCCAUAUGAGGAGAUGCGGGGUGUAUGGACUAGCUAUAUGCUAUCAUCGCAUUAUUUGGUUUGUGUGAUGCGCUAGGCGUCGUGUGUGUUCAUGUUAGAGCUAAACUUCCAUAGUGGGAGUUCUAUUUACUCAAGUUAGUGGUUUGUGUGUUUGGCAUCCCAUAACUCACUGAGUAACUCCCCUGUUACUCACCCCCCCCCCCUCUUCUUCCCCUUGCAGGUGAGCUUGUCGAGUGUUUGGAUAUCUGGACGGUUUGGUGUCUUGGGAAUAUUGUAUUUUAUUCGGUUUUAAUUAACUUUUCGAUUUUAUAUAUUUGGUUUUAAAUUAUAAACUAGUUUUACUUGGAAAUUAUUUGAUUAAAAGGUUUGACAUUUUAUUCGGUUUUAUAAAUCGGUUUAAUUCACUAUUUGUUUGGUUAGUAGCACGCUGUUCUCGAGAGAGGAGGAGACGGGUGUUACAAAUUUAUUCUUUUUUGGAUACAUGCAAGAUCAAACAUAAUUUUCGAUUUUCGAAAAGAAAUUUUGACAAAAAAAAAUUCAAAAAAAAUUAUAAAAAAGUUUGAAUUUGAAAAAGUAUAAUUCGAAAACAUUAAAAAAAUUAUUAUUUUUAUUUAAUAUAUAUAUAGAUAACAAGGGUAUAAGAAUCUUUUGCCACUUAAUGAAAAAGAUAUUUUUGAAAAUGUCUAUUUAGUGCUGGUAAGAUGAAAGUGGUACCAUGAAAGUGGUAAACAUAAAAUUUUCCCUAAGGAAAACCGUAUUGAUGCAACAAUUGACUGUUAUCUUUUACAACACUGAUUUUAGAAUUUUAUAAAAAAAUAUCAUGGCCAUAUUGAAUAUAUUGCAAAAAAGAGUUAUAACACUGCAACUAAAAACUUAUAAAUAAAACCUUAAUUAAAUAACAUAAUAUAAGAAAAACUAAAACUAAUAAAAUAUUACUCAAAAUUAUUGUAUUUUAGUUUUGAAAAAAUACAAAUGCCCGCGCAUGGGCGCAGGUGAGUCACCUAGUGAGUCACCUAGUAUUAUUAAAAAUUGAAUUACAAUUUUUGAAAUCCUCUUUAUUUUGGUAGUAUUUACAGGAGUGUCCUCCUAAAUUAAUGGUAACUAGAUGUUUGCAGGUAGUUUUAUAUUAUAUAAAUAAAUAUAUAUUAUCUUUACACUGUUAUAAUUUUUGAAUAAUAAUUAGAAAUUUAAAAUUUUAAUUUUUAGUUUCAAAUAUUUGGAUAAUCAAAAAUUCCAGUAUAUAUUUUUAGAAGAUAUGUGAAAUUUCAAAUAGUUUAAAACAUAAACCUUAGUCAUUAAAAAUCUUUAUUUUACAGAAAAGAAUAUUAUAAUUAAUUGAGAUAACUAGUUUAGAAUUACUUUAUAUUUUAGUUUAAUACAUGAAAAACUAAAAAUAGUCUAGCUCUCAAGAGAGAAAAAAAAAGGGUUUUUUUUUUUGUGUAAAUCUAAUAUGUCCAAUACAAUGACAAGAUGCUUUUUUCAUGAAAGAUCUUUUGUAAACUGUUUUGUGUGGGCUUUAAGAACAUAAAAGUUAUAAUAAUUUCUUACCUACAAAUAUAAUUCUUUUACAUAAUAAUACAUAACCAUUAAAUUUAUUUCUAUAACAAUCCUAAAGUAUUUUAUUUAAUUAUAUAUAACUAAUUGAUAAAAAUAAAGAAAUUGAUAAAACAUAUAUACUAUUUCUCUAAUUCUACAAUUAGUUAUCAUAAAUCAUUAUUUAUAAUAUCAUUUGUGUUAUUUGGUAAUCUGUAUUAAUUAGUUAUAUAAUUACCUUUUAUUUUUAUAUGUCAUUAAAAUAAUAACUAAUAAAUGUUAACAACCAAUAAAAUUAUAACUAUUUUUUAAAACUUAACCUAUUAAAGAUACAUAAUCAAAAGUCAAUUAAAUGGCUUCUCAACUAAUAUAUAGUAGAAUUUAUCUGUUUAAAACUAAGAAUAAAUUUGGUUAUGGUAAACAUAAAAACAUGUAUUAGAAAAAUAGUAGUUUAAACCAUUUUUCUCAUAAUUGUUUUCCAAAUCACACUUUCUCACUCAUUUUUUAAAUUUAGUGUUUAGCAUAAAACUCAAAUGGGUUAAGAAAACAAAUUCUUCCUUAAAUUAUCUCUGAUCAUCACACUAUUUUAUCAAACACUAACUCAUUAAACCAAAGGUUUUUAAUUAAAACUAAUCAUAGUUUACAUAGCUUUUAAAAUUAUUAUUUUUAAUUUAUUUUAAAUUAAAUUAAAACAUACCUAUAUUAAUUAAAUCUGAUUAACUAAUAAGAAAAAUAAUAUUUCAAUUUUUAAAUAACCAAUGUGGUUAUUUUAGGCAUAUAUACUUAAUAUUAAUGUGAGAUCUAAUAUUAUAAGAAAUAAAAUGUUUUUAUUUGUAUAAAUUUUAUAAAACAUUUAUUAUCAUACAUUUUAAAAUUUUACUAUAGCGUAAAAAUACAUCUCAUUAAGUUUUAAAUAAUUUUUUCUUACUUUCAAUUUACAUUAUAUUUUCCAUCUUUGACUUUAACAAUUGUAGAGAUGGUCAUUUUUAUUGAACUUCUUUACUAAAUUUAUCUUAACAUUUUUAAAACACAUAAAACUAAUUAGUUCACAUUUAUAGUAACCCAAAAAAGUACAUGUACCUCGACAAACCAAUAAAAAUUAAAUACAUAAGCAUAUAAAAUACCAAGAACACAACAAACAUAUUUUAUUAUGCUUCCCUCUUGUUCUUUUUAUUUAUAUAUGUUUUUUUCCUAUCAAAAAUAAGCAUGCUAAUUUUAUUAUAAUUCAGGCUAUAUGAAUUAUAUUAAUAGAGUGUUAACUAUAGAAAAAUUUAAACCGAUAGUGGUUUAAUUCAAAUUAUAAUUAAUUAUCUAUAAAACCAAAAGCUAACCAUUUUAAUUCCUAACCCUAACCGUAUAUUCUUGUACACGUAUUUAUAUAUGCUGUACUCUUCGUUAAAAAGCCAGCCACCAUUAUUUUAGAUCGAGCCAGAGCUGAUGCCAUUGUGUUGUCCACCUCUGAUCAUCACUCUCGUCUCCAUCUCUUUCCUCCUUUAUUCACGUGUUCUUCUUCUCCCUCUUUAUGAAGCUGUGCGUUGUUGAGAUGCGAGACGCAAGCACCACCACCACGGUGAACCAUCUCACCUUAUCCCACCGGGGCCAUGCUUCAUCACCGGAGGAGCAGCCCAUGUCAUCACAGACCCGUUACCUGCCGUCACAUCCGUUGCGUUGUGGUUACGUACCGGAUCUGCGAGAUGGAGAGCAUGAGCCGAGAGGGAGAGAAAGGCGUUCGAGGCGGAGCCGCACGUUCCCCACCACCACCGGUCUUAGAUCUGUACCGCCGUGAUCCCUUGGUCACCGUAGUUGAUCCAUAUUGUCGGAGAGCCAGCAAUGCUACGUCGUUGACGUCUCGUAUCGGUUGGUGAUGUGGAGCACGUGAUCAAUUAUGAUAAGUUUCCUUAUUCCUAUUUUUCUUGUAUUACAAGUAACCGUUCUCAUCAUAAACCCUACAAUCAUAUAUAUUAAUUAUGCCUUUGUCUUGUAUUAUUUAUAUUCGAUUUGAUGUGUCUCGGUGAGGAGUGGAGAUCCAUGGC